This 444-nucleotide ribosomal RNA is filed under the name uncultured bacterium. RNAcentral describes it as "bacterial SSU rRNA". It matches the Rfam family "Bacterial small subunit ribosomal RNA", at positions 29 to 457 of the family's 1533-position model. The record is from RNAcentral.
AACGAACGCUGGCGGCGUGCCUAACACAUGCAAGUCGUGCGAGAAAGUUCCUUCGGGAGCGAGUAAAGCGGCGCACGGGUGAGUAACACGUAGGUAACCUGCCCCCCAGUCUGGAACAACUAGAGGAAACUCUAGCUAAUGCCGGAUGAGACCACGAUCCCUUCGGGGGUUGCGGCCAAAGAUGGCCUCUACUUGUAAGCUAUCGCUGAGGGAUGGGCCUGCGGGCCAUUAGCUUGUUGGUGAGGUAACGGCUCACCAAGGCUGUGAUGGCUAGCUGGUCUGAGAGGAUGACCAGCCACACUGGGACUGAGACACGGCCCAGACUCCUACGGGAGGCAGCAGUGGGGAAUAUUGCGCAAUGGGCGAAAGCCUGACGCAGCGACGCCGCGUGGGUGAUGAAGGCCUCGGUCGGUAAGACCGUCGUCGCAGGGAAGGAAGUAAGAC